RNA transcript from Zophobas morio, 1631 nucleotides. RefSeq lists it as uncharacterized. NCBI's taxonomy places the organism in Eukaryota, Metazoa, Arthropoda, Insecta, Coleoptera, Tenebrionidae. The record is from RefSeq and is a predicted model, not a curated record. The transcript has 19 exons.
CUUCUAAUAGCGUGCCUUUGUGAAGUAGUAAAUUUUAUUUUAGUAGACGUUUGGUGCUUACAGGUAAUAUGGAUAACAACACCAUGGCAACUUGAUGAUCUUUCUGGAAUUGCAAACAUGGAUAAUUUUCAAACGGAAAUAGUGACCGGAAAAAAUUCUUACCUCCAAAGACUAUGCGAAUUCAGUAGUAGUUGUGUUCAAGAAUGUUCCUAUUUAAUUGUAGACAGUGACGAUGAUAACAGUAGCCCUUCGGAGUGUAAGACUAAAGUUUUGAACUAUGAAUCUACUAUUGAUUCUCCUCCCCCUAUAACAAAAAUUAAUAAUUAUGGCCUAACUCCUGUUCCUAAAAGUAAUAAUGAAAGUGUUAUUACUGUUAUGAGCUCGCCACUUUCAAAAGAAAGCCAAAGAAAAAAGAGUACACAAGCUACACUCACCGCUUUUUACAAAGAAAAAAAGAAAACUUUUAAAGAUGAAAAGAGUGACGAUUUAAAGUUUAAAAAAAAACCUGGCAAAAAAGCGAGUACCUCCGAGGGACUUGCCUCUUUGAGCUGCUUUAUAACAACCUGUGCAAUAAAAAAGGAAGCUUUGAGUGAACUCAUAAAUAACCUAAGCGAAUUGGGCUGUUUUGCGGUAGUUACAGAUGGAAAGGAAAUCAGCAUUGUGGACUAUUAUAUUACCUGGGAAAAGACCUUGACGGAUCAUAAAGAGGAAAAUUCUAAGAAUUGCGAAGUUGUUGCUGCGGAAACUCCUUCUAUCGGUAAAGUUAAUCCCAAGAUUUAUUUGGAUCAAGUACUUUACGUUAUGAAGGGCAUUAAAUUCGUUUCUUUAGUCGAACGGUCCGCUUUUCACGCUUUUUUGAAUAGAAUUUACGAAGAAAAUGCAGGAAAAAGCAUUUCUAUAAUAUUUGAAGGUGCGGAUUCAGUUUUUACCAAAACCAGAAAACCAGAUGCUGUGGCCCGUACGGAUAUGUUCUCUUCUGUGGAUCCAGCGGAGAUCAUCAAAAGUACUCUGCUGGAUUUGCAGUUUUGCAACGUGCAGUACUGGAUAACAAAAGAUCCGCACGAAACCAAUUGCUUUAUUGAAGCUUACUGCAGUGUACUGGCACGUGACUCAUCAAAGGAUAACAAUAGGGAUUUGUACAAUUUUAGUCGAGGAAUUAGUAAAGCAACGACUUCCCAAGAAAUAUUUCAUAAGCAGCUCUGUACGCUCACCAGCAUUAGCGAGAGCGUUGCUCGUGCGAUUGUAGAUCGAUUUCAGAGUUACAAACGACUAUAUCAGGAGUGUAAAAUGCUGCCCGAUGAGGCGCAAAGAAUCUCUUUGAUUGCCAACACUAGGGUUAAACGGGCCGAAAAGGGGACAGAUAGACCAGUGGGAAGAUCUGUGGCUGGCAAAAUCCACGCUCUUCUUUUUAAUUAUGACGGGAUGUUGAAGUAGCAGCAGCAGUCAUAAAAAAUACUACACAAUGAAAACUUCCACCAAAUUAACGUCACCGCCACAGUAAAUAUCAUUAAAUUAAGGGCACCGACGUAUAGCAUAUUUCGGUUGGCGCCUAGAAAAGAUGAGUUUUUAGUUUCUUAUGGCAAGUGAACUCCGCUAUUAAAAAAGUAAUCACACCUUAUACUUGUAAAGGU